This 122-nucleotide ribosomal RNA is filed under the name Papilio polytes (common Mormon). Lineage: Eukaryota; Metazoa; Arthropoda; Insecta; Lepidoptera; Papilionidae. The record is from RNAcentral.
GCCAACGUCCAUACCACGUUGAAUACACCGGUUCUCGUCCGACCACCGAAGUUAAGCAACGUCGGGCGCGGUCAGUACUUGGAUGGGUGACCGCCUGGGAACACCGCGUGAUGUUGGCUUUU